CAUAAUACUCGUUUUGGUCCGUUCGUAAUGAUCGUUGUCGUUUAUUUCACAUAGUCAUACUAUAUUAUUGUUGUGCCUUUGGUGACCCGGGAAAGAAGUACCCAAAUCAGUUGCGUUCGACACAGUUUUCAAUGCUAGCAAAUUAAACGUCGACAGUUAUUAAACGGCCAAAGUGCUAAACGUUCUAAUUUAAAUGACGUCACAGCGAAAUAUAGAGAUAUUUUAUUUUUUUAGUAUAAAUUGUGAUCGAAUAAAUGUAGACUUAUAUGUGUAUACAUACACUUAUGCCAUUCUGACCAAAAUAGAAUGUGUAGAGAAAAAAUUUAUA
This is a non-coding RNA of Cinara cedri, 328 nucleotides long. NCBI's taxonomy places the organism in Eukaryota, Metazoa, Arthropoda, Insecta, Hemiptera, Aphididae. The record is from the annotation of a GenBank genome assembly.